AGUGAACGCUGGCGGUAGGCCUAACACAUGCAAGUCGAACGGCAGCACAGUAAGAGCUUGCUCUUACGGGUGGCGAGUGGCGGACGGGUGAGGAAUACAUCGGAAUCUACUUUUUCGUGGGGGAUAACGUAGGGAAACUUACGCUAAUACCGCAUACGCCCUACGGGUGAAAGCAGGGGAUCUUCGGACCUUGCGCGAAUGAAUGAGCCGCUGUUGGAUUGGCUGGUUGGCGGGGGAAAGGCCCACCAAGGCGCCGAUCCGUGGCGGGGGUGGGAGGAUGAUCAGCCACACUGGAGCGGGGACGCGGUCCUGACUCCUGCGAGAGGCAGCAGUGGGGAAUAUUGGACAAUGGUCGCAAACCUGAUCCAGCCAGACCGCGUGUGAUGAAGAGGCCUUCGGGUUGUAAAGCCCGUUUGUUGGGAAAGAAAAGCAGCAGCUUAUUACCCCGCGGUUCUGACGGUACCCAAAGAAUAAGCACCGGCUAACUUCGUG
Molecule: ribosomal RNA, 492 nt
Filed under: uncultured bacterium
Lineage: Bacteria
Description: partial 16S ribosomal RNA
Rfam family: Bacterial small subunit ribosomal RNA
Source: RNAcentral